Molecule: ribosomal RNA, 253 nt
Filed under: uncultured bacterium
Lineage: Bacteria
Description: partial 16S ribosomal RNA
Rfam family: Bacterial small subunit ribosomal RNA
Source: RNAcentral
UACGUAGGGAGCAAGCGUUGUCCGGAAUCAUUGGGCGUAAAGCGCGCGUAGGUGGCCUCAUAAGUCCGCUGUGAAAGUCAAAGGCUCAACCUUUGAAAGCCGGUGGAUGCUGUGAGGCUAGAGUACGGAAGAGGCGAGUGGAAUUCCUGGUGUAGCGGUGGAAUGCGCAGAUAUCAGGAGGAACACCAAUAGCGAAGGCAGCUCGCUGGGACGUUACUGACACUGAGGCGCGAAAGCGUGGGGAGCGAACAGG